This 433-nucleotide ribosomal RNA is filed under the name uncultured bacterium. RNAcentral describes it as "partial 16S ribosomal RNA". It matches the Rfam family "Bacterial small subunit ribosomal RNA", at positions 29 to 507 of the family's 1533-position model. The record is from RNAcentral.
AACGAACGCUGGCGGCAUGCCUAACACAUGCAAGUCGAACGAGACCUUCGGGCUUUGUGGCGCACGGCUACGUAACGCGUGGGAACUUGCCCUUAGGUUCGGUAUCACUCCCCGAAAGGGGUCCUAAUACCGGUUAAUGUCUUCGGACCUAAGAUUUAUCGCCUUUGGAUGGGCCCGCGUUGGAUUCGCCAGUUGGUAGGGUAAAAGCCUACCAACGCGACGAUCCAUGGCUGGUCGGUGAGGAUGAUCAGCCACACUGGGACUGAGACACGGCCCAGAAUCGUACGGGGGGCAGCAGUAGGUAAUAUUGGACAAUGAGCGAAAGCCUGGUCCAGCAAUGCCGGGGGAGUGAGGAAGGGCUUAGGAUUGUAAAGCUCUUUUACCCGGGAUGAUAAUGACAGUACCGGGAGAAGAAGCACCGGCUAACUCCGUG